RNAcentral lists this ribosomal RNA (717 nucleotides) under uncultured bacterium. Its description in RNAcentral is "bacterial SSU rRNA". It matches the Rfam family "Bacterial small subunit ribosomal RNA", at positions 11 to 757 of the family's 1533-position model. The record is from RNAcentral.
GUUUGAUCAUGGCUCAGAACGAACGCUGGCGGCAUGCCUAACACAUGCAAGUCGAACGGGAUCCGGACUUCGGUUCGGUGAGAGUGGCGGACGGGUGAGUAACGCGUGGGAACCUGCCCAAUGGUCUGGGAUAACCGCGGGAAACUGCGGCUAAUACCGGAUAAGCCCCCUGGCAACGGGGGGAAAGAUUUGUCGCCGAUGGAGGGGCCCGCGUCAGAUUAGGUAGUUGGUGGGGUAAUGGCCUACCAAGCCUACGAUCUGUAGCUGGUCUGAGAGGAUGAUCAGCCACACUGGGACUGAGAUACGGCCCAGACUCCUACGGGAGGCAGCAGUGGGGAAUAUUGGACAAUGGGGGCAACCCUGAUCCAGCAAUGCCGCGUGAGUGAUGAAGGCCUUAGGGUUGUAAAGCUCUUUUGGCGGGGACGAUGAUGACGGUACCCGCAGAAUAAGCCCCGGCUAACUUCGUGCCAGCAGCCGCGGUAAUACGAAGGGGGCGAGCGUUGUUCGGAAUUACUGGGCGUAAAGGGCGCGUAGGCGGCCGAUCUAGUCAGAUGUGAAAGUCCUGGGCUUAACCUGGGGACUGCAUUUGAUACUGAUUGGCUUGAAUGCAGGAGAGGAUAGCGGAAUUCCCAGUGUAGAGGUGAAAUUCGUAGAUAUUGGGAAGAACACCGGUGGCGAAGGCGGCUAUCUGGACUGUGAUUGACGCUGAGGCGCGAA